AUGAGAGGUGAAACGUCUUCAAGCAACUUAAAGAAGUCCAGACGCUUUUCUUUGCAAACUCCUUUGACUACGAUGACCUGGAUGACUGAGAACCUUCACAGACAUAUUGCCGUACAUUUUGGGAGGAACACCCUUCAACUGGUAUGGGAGUAUGAAAGGGAAUCAAGGAAACUGGCGGAUUAUAGGAACCACCUUCAUUUCAACCUAAGAUGCAGACAAAGCAGAGUUGUUCCUAAGAGCUUGCGCCUUGGAUCCACUGUCAGGGGACACAGAGCAGACUUGAUUCUACAGAGAGCACAGAAUCACCUUUUAAGUGAAAGGAUAAGACAGGUCCAUUUCACUAUAGAUGCCCUCCAGAUCAAGAUCAGCCAGACUCUGCAGGAAUUGGAAACCCUUCUACCCUCUCCAAUCUUAGAAGAGGUUCACAAGUUUGUGGACAAGGCUCAGCGGGCCCAACACUCUCAAGGAAAAGAAUUACAACGCAGGAAAUUUCACACCUUGCUUUCAAAAACCCACAAUCCUCAGUCUGAAACCACACAACUCAGAGAAGAAAACACACCUGAAGACAGUCAGGAGAAAUGGGUAAAGAACUUUUCAGACCGGAAUCUCACUGAACCUGAAAAGAGGGUUUUAGCCAAAGGACUCAAUUUCGCCAUUUCUCCGCAACAGUUGCCCAUAGUGGACCUCAUCACAGCCACAGAAACCGCCAUACGGAUUAAUAAAUUAUCACAGACAGAAGCAGAGCAAAUCAGGAUGAAAGUCUCAGCCACCCUCUCCAGUGCGAAAGUCCCUCCGUCUAACCUUACAUUACAAGAAAAGAAGGCCGUCGCUUCCCUGAGCAAAGACCACAACAUCACUAUAUUACCAGCGGAUAAGGGAAGGUGCACCGUGGUCCUAAACACAACAGAUUACCACACAAAGAUCACUACUCUCCUCAGUGACAACAACACCUACGAAGCUUUAAAACGAGACCCCACAAGCAGUUACAAAAAGAAAGUUAUAGCUUGCCUUCAAAACCUUGAAAAGGACAAAACCAUUGACCGCAUUACAUACCACCGCCUUUAUCCAGGGGAUGCCAUACCCUGCAUUUAUGGACUUCCUAAAAUCCACAAGGAAGGGGUCCCACUCAGACCCAUAGUCAGUAGCAUAAACUCAGCCACUUAUAACAUUGCGAAACACCUUGCUACCAUCCUCGCACCUCUCGUGGGGAACACCCCACACCACAUCAAGAACUCCACCGACUUCACCGACAAGGUCCAGAAACUUACCCUGGAUCCAGAUGAAACCAUGGUGUCCUUUGAUGUAGUCUCUCUCUUCACUUGCAUACCCACCAAGGAGGCAGUGGAGACGACUACAAGAAGACAGCUCCUUGGAAGACAGGACCAACUUCACACCCGAUCAGAUUUGCACACUGUUAGACCUCUGCCUUACCACAACAUACUUCAAAUACAACGAAGGCUACUACAGACAAAAACAUGGCUGUGCCAUGGGCUCCCCCGUGUCACCUAUUGUAGCCAACCUUUACAUGGAGGAAGUGGAAAGAAAGGCUCUUGGCUCUUUUAA
Long non-coding RNA from Oreochromis niloticus (Nile tilapia), 1563 nucleotides. The record is from Ensembl. NCBI's taxonomy places the organism in Eukaryota, Metazoa, Chordata, Actinopteri, Cichliformes, Cichlidae.